RNAcentral lists this ribosomal RNA (912 nucleotides) under Triticum aestivum (bread wheat). RNAcentral describes it as "partial small subunit ribosomal RNA". Lineage: Eukaryota; Viridiplantae; Streptophyta; Magnoliopsida; Poales; Poaceae. The record is from RNAcentral.
AUGCUAAUAUCUCCAGGACUCGCGGCGCCGGCGGCCUCUCACCCGUCCCCUUUCCUCGCCGCCGCCUGCCUCGGCGACCGCGCUGCUCUAGGAGGCCUCGUCCAGCCGGCCGCAACGACGUCGAAGACCCGCUGCUACAGCCGCCCGCUGCUCCGCUAUGCGACCGCCGACGCCGCUUCUAUUGCGGGCAGCGUAUCGACCAAUGACACUCGGUGCCGCCUGGACCGCGACGAGCUCCGCAGGGUCUGCCAAGAGCCCGACCUCGAGGGAGCAGUUAACCUGCUCGACGAAAUGCUUACCCGGAGAGGCGGCGCCGGCGCGUCGGGCCAACCCGCGCCGGAAGAGCAGGCCGCGGUCCUCCAGUGCUACGUUGACGCGCUCUCGCUGGCCUCCCUCAGACGAGGUCACCGCUUGCUCGCCAAGUCCACGUCCCGGUACUCCGGGAUCGCCAUGCCCAUCGUGCACAGGAUCGCCACGCUGUACUGCAAGCUCGGCGCCCCUGCCGACGCGCGGCGCGUCCUUGAGGGAGCGUCGAGGCCGGCACCAGGAAAGCCCGCGGACGCGGCGCAGGCCAAGCGGAAGGAGGCCUACGAGAAGGUGCGCGAGCUGCACGAGGAGAUACGCGCGGCGGGGUACGUGCCGGACACCCGCUUCGUGCUGCACGACAUCGACGAGGCCGCCAAAGAGCGCGCCCUCAUGUACCACAGCGAGCGCCUGGCCAUCGCGUUCGGGCUGGUGAGUACCCCGCCCGGCACGCCGCUGCGGGUCAUGAAGAACCUCCGCAUCUGCGGGGACUGCCACACCGCCGUCAAGCUCAUCGCCAAGGUGACCGGCCGCGAGAUCAUCGUCAGGGACAACAAGCGGUUCCACCAUUUCAAGGACGGCGCCUGCUCCUGCGGGGAUUACUGGUGA